Molecule: long non-coding RNA, 1091 nt
Filed under: Papio anubis (olive baboon)
Lineage: Eukaryota; Metazoa; Chordata; Mammalia; Primates; Cercopithecidae
Description: lncRNA (ENSPANG00000042283.1)
Source: RNAcentral
CUCCUCAUUAUGGGUUCUAUUUUCCUGCUUCUUUGCAUACCUGGUAAUAUUUUGAUUGUGUGCCAGCUAUUGUGAAUUUUAUCCUUUCAGGUGCUAAUUUUUUUGUAUUUCUAUAAAUAUUCUUGAGCUUUGUUCCUAGAUGCAGUUACUUGGAAACAGUUUGAUCCUUUCAGGUCUCGCUUUUAAGCUUUGUCAUGUGGGACCAGAAAAGUGUUUGAUCCAGGAAUAAUUAUUCCCUACUACUAAGGUAAGAUGUUUCUGAGAGCUCCACCUGAUGGAACAGGAGUUAUUCCUGGGUAUUAUGGUAUCUAAUCCUUUCAAGUACUUCUUCCUCUUUGCCUCAGGUCAUUUCCUCACAAGCAUUUGUUGAUAAGCACUCUGCUGAGUACUUAAGGAGAGCCCUCUGCAAAUCUCCAGAGCUCUCUUUUCCAGCUUUCUCUCUCUGGUACUUCGCUCUGCCAAUUGUAGCAGACUUGGCCUCCUGAACACCCAGGCUUAUCUCCUCCACUUAAGAACACCCAGAUCUGUCUGAGUUCCCCUCCCUAUGUUGUGGACUGGAGUCUCUCUCAAGGAACAAGCUGGAAAACCUCAUUGAGCCUGGGCUUCAGUAUUGAUACCGUUAUAGAAAUCGUGAGUCUCCACUGUGUUUUCUUUGAAAGGUAUACAAAUACAUUAUGCUUUUUGGGGGUCUUGGAGACAAUCUUCUAGUAUUUGGGCAAAUUUGGCUUGGCAGUGAAGCCGGAGGUACAGCCAGGAAAACCCUGCACUACUCUUUUAAAGACUGUUGUUAAGAGGAAAUUGUUUAAGCAUUUUACACACCACUGCUUCCCACUGGGCGUGGAAGAGCUGCUUCUGGGGCGUAUGCAGACACAGCUUUAAAUAGCCUUGACCCGUAGAAUGAAGUAGACCUUCCACAAAUCCCUUUCAAUCUGAUUAUACGGGAAGAUUUCACUUGUUAUUACUCUGUUUUUAACACUUCUCUAGCGCUUGCUAAUCUCCCCUUCUAAGCGGCAAAUAGUCUUCAAACACAACACUUUCAGUGAGAAGUGGUUAUAUGGCCAGCAACAUGCAAUAGAAUAUUAUUACUGUAU